This 4805-nucleotide long non-coding RNA is filed under the name Marmota monax (woodchuck). Lineage: Eukaryota; Metazoa; Chordata; Mammalia; Rodentia; Sciuridae. The record is from RNAcentral.
GGACGUCCUCCAGUGCAGGGCCCUGAGAUGGGCUCCUCCUGCGUCGGGUGGCCCUGGUGCCAUGGCCGUGUCCUCCCCAGAGACAGAGGAGGGGACGCAGACCCGGAGGAGGAGCCCCGUGGAGUCCUUUAAUUAACCACCCCUCAGCCCCUUCACUGCAAAGUGACAAGGCUCUGAUCUGGAAGUUGUGGCUCCUUCCCUCUCCGCGGGGGGAAAAGCAGAUUCCAGACGCCCACCUGUCCCCAACCGGAGCUUGGGAGACCGCCCCGGACAUGGCCCUGCCUGGGACUGCAAGGCGACGUAGCUGGGCAGAAGCAAGCUGUCCCGGACCAGUGUGACUCUGGGUGAGUGGCCCUCGGCCCGUGUGCCCUGUCCUCAGGGCGCCGUGGCAGAGCGUCGCCCCUGGGCCGGGUCAGUGGGCUCCAGGGGCCUCCAUCAGCUUCCCCAGGUGUGUGGGUCACCUUUUCUUUACUGUGACAAAAUACCUGAGAAAAACGACUUUGAGGAGGAAAAGGUUUUUUUUUUUUUUUCUUUUGUAGUUAAGACGGCAUCCAAAAUAUGUCAGAUAUAAUAUAAAUAUGAAAUAUAUACAUAGCAUAGAAUAUACGGAAUAAUAUAAUAUAUACAUAAAAUAUAUAAUAUGCAUGAUAAUAAAUAAAAUAGCAUCCAAUCACCAUAGAGCCAAUAGAACAGUAGACAAUAAUGUGAUUUACUCAACGUCCUCUUAUAUGGUCUCAGGUCACGAUAUAGGGUCACCUAAGACACUGACACCGAUCUCACUGCAUAUAAAUACGUGUGACCGUACACAGAGGAGCAUCGAAUAACAGCAUGUCGAAUGCAGCAACGCGUGAUAAUGUGGCUUAUUAAAUGACCUUUCAAAGAAUCUCAUGUGUAUAAUAUAUAGUCACAAAAAAGACAAUAUUUAUGUCAUUAUAUAUGAAUAUCUGUAAUAUUCAUAUAUAUUAUUUGAUCUCCUUUUUAUAUACCUACAUAAAAGGAGAUCGAAUAAUACAUCAAAUAUAAUGAUAUAUCAUGUGAUGCAGUUAUAUGUUUUUAUAUAUUAUAUAAUAUUAUAUAUUAUAUUCUAGAUUAUGUAUGAUUAUAUAUCAUAUAUUAUUUUGUCAUAUAUGAUUAUAUAUUGUUUAUUAUAUAUGAUAUAAUAUUAUAUACUAUCAUAUAUUAUAUAUAAUCAUAUGUUAUAUAUUAUAUUAUCAUAUGCUAUAUUAUAUAUAAUCAUAUUACAUAUCAUGUAUGUUAUAUAUUACACAUUAUAUCUUGUAAUAUUACAUAUUAUACAUUAUAAUACUAUAUAUUAUAUAUUGUAUUAUUAUCUAUUAUAUAUUAUGAUAUUAUAUAUUAUAUCUUGUAAUAUUAUCUAUUAUUACAUAUCAUAUAUUAUAUACUAUUUUAUUUAUUAUAUAUUAAAUUAUUAUGCAUUAUAUAUCAUACAAUAUAUCAUAUAUUAUAUCUUGUAAUGUCAUAUAUUAUUUGCAUCAUAGAUGACACAAUGUGCGUGAUCAUAUCGAUGACGUCAUCACAUAUGGGGGCACUAUUAUGUCAUAUAUAAAUAAUACGCGCUGCAUUACUGCGUAUGAACAGACAUCCUCAUAUAAGUGCUCGAUAAAUGUCACAGAGCCCGUCACUGUGACACUGCGAUCGUCUAUGAUAACCCUGACAGACUGAGCCGGGGGCACAGACUCACGCCUGGGAUCCCAGCCGCUCUGGAGGCUGAGGCAGGAGGAUGGCCAGUUGGAGGCCAGCCUCAGCCGCUCAGCGGGAACCGUCUCUGGAUACUCCACACGAGGCCCCGGGAAGCGGCUCGGGGCUGCAGCCGCUGGGUUAGAGGGACGCCCGAGGGUCCCCUGUCUGGGCGCCUCCUGCCUGCAGUCCCUCCUGCCCUGACCCUGAGGCCCUGUGACAUCGGGCGUCGCUGGCUGUCCCUGGAGCUGGUGAGCUGGUUUCCAGGGGAACCACCGGCUGUCCCUGCCCGGCCCAACCGCCGGCCUGCACAGGUGCACCUGGCUGUGUCGAAACGGCCCUAUUUUGGGUCCCCACGGCCCAGCUGCACCCCGUGGCCUCCACUGGCCCAGAGGCUCUUCCCGGUUCCUCCUUUCUGUUCCUCGUGGGCUCCCCACCCCUGUCCCUGGCACGUGCACAGCCCUGACCUGCCAAGGCCUCCGCCCCUCCUCCCCCAGCACAGGGGGCCUCGACCCUCCGUCCUGUCCCACACCAGCCGCCACAGCACACUUUAAAAGUCCUCCAGGGCUCCAGGUGGGCAGGGGGAUUUCCCAACUGGACCUCUCCUGGCCGUGCUGGGGUCGCUGGGCGUCUUGGCAGGCAGCCCUGGGUGCUCAUGGGGUCCGGUUCCUUGGCACUGAUUACCAAAUAAGAAAAUCUGGCCGUGCCUGGGAUCCCAGUGGCACGGGAGGCUGAGGCAGGAGGACGGCAAGUUGGAGGCCAGCCUCAGCAAGGAUCUAAGCAACUUAGGGAAACCCUGUCUCUAAAUAAAACGGGAAAGGGCCGGGGCUGGGCUCCGUGGGGAAGCACCCCUGGGCUCCAUCCCUGUGCGGAAACAAGGGGUGGGAGGAGGGACAGAGAGACGGACAGGACAACGGGGCAGGACAGAGGGACAGAAGAGCACAAGCCCCUUCCUCCAGUUCCCUGCUCUCCAACAGCUGGGGAGAUCCCUGUGCCGGUCCCCGAGAGCCGGGUGACCCCUUAAGGUCUGGCCAAUCUCCUAUCAGAGCAUCUGGCAGCCCAAGUGUGUCCCCAGGGACAGCUCAGCCUCCCCCUCCUGACGGCCCCUACCUGUGCCCAGGCCUGGCCCAGCCCACAUCUCCCCAAUGCCCAGCCCUGUGCAUCCCUGGCCCCGCCCACAUCCCCAGUGCCCCGCCCUGUGCAUCCCUGGCCCCGCCCACAUCUCCCCAGUGCCCCGCCCUGUGCAUCCCUGGCCCUGCCCACAUCUCCCCAGUGCCCCGCCCUGUGCAUCCCUGGCCCCGCCCACAUCUAUCAGUGCCCCGCCCUGUGCACCCCUGGCCCCGCCCACAUCUCCCCAGUGCCCCGCCCUGUGCAUCCCUGGCCCCGCCCACAUCUCCCAGUGCCCCGCCCCGUGCACCCCUGGCCCCGCCCACAUCCCCCAGUGCCCCGCCCUGUGCAUACCUGGCCCCGCCCACAUCCCCAGUGCCCGGCCCCGUCCAUCCGUGCCCUUCUCUGCCCAGGACCAGAUUGUAAAUGCCCCCGGGUGGCCAGUCAUGCAGCGGGUGGCCGUCCACCAGCCCACGGCCAAGGUGUCCCCUCAGCACAAGCCAUUUCUCCCCGUCUGCUGGAUCAUGGUUUGUGCACCGAGGGUCCCAGGCCUAGAGUGACCUGGCCACAGCACCCUGGCCUUUCAGACCUACUGUGUGCGUUGCAGAACGGCUGGAUUCUUAAAAGGACACGCAUCGCCCUGGAGGAGGGACAGCCUGCCCGUCCCCUGGGGAAGGGGCAGCUUGCAUGUCCAACAGGGGCCGCCCACCUGCAGGAUAGGUGACCAGGACAGGUGGCUGUCAAAUAAGAUUCCUGGGGAUCCCGGAAAAAAUAGCCACAUGUCCUAAGACCCAAACCACAGGAGUCCAGUGCCCCUGGCCCUGGAGGGCAGAAGCUGGACCAGGGUCCCCGGGUGAGCUCCCUCCCCGGGCUCCAGGGGGCUCCUCCUGCCUUUCUAGCUCCUGGGCUCCAGGUGGCCCUGGGCUGGUGGCCCUCACUCCAAUCUCCACGGGUCUCCUCCUCUGGGUCUGUGUGUCCUCUUCUGCCUCCCGAGAGGACACUGCCCCUUGAUAAUCCACGAGGGUCUCAGGUUAACUGCUCCUGACCCUCCCCCCAUUCCCCACUCAGUCCAGGUUGGCGUGGACACUGUCCCCCCGCGGGCUGCUGAGGGAGGCUUCAGGGUCGGGGAGGAGGCCCGGGAUCGAGGCCAGGGAGGAGGCUGGGGAGGUUAUCUGGGACGUCUUUGCUGAGCUCAGGGACACGCCCGUUGCAACACAGUGAAGCCAAGCCCGGGUCAGCAGCCGGUGUCCGGCCAGGACCUGGCCUUGAAACCCGGCCGCUGCCUCAUGGCCACGCAGGGCUCCUCCUGGGAUGGCGGAGGCGGAGGCGGCGGAGGCGGAGGCCACGGAGGCCGGGCCCUGGGUGCUUAUCAGGUGGCUUUUUUACGACGGCAGGAAGUUACUCAACCCCGGCGGCGAGUGCUGAGCAGUAAUGAUCAAUGCCACAAAGAGGAACGCGGCGCGGGGACCCAAGGGGACAAUGACACUCUGCAAGAAGGGAGCGACGUGCCUCGGGACAGCGCACCGCUGACCCCCAGGCGGACCUGACCGGGGCCUCCGGGAGGCGCCGCCCGCAGCCUGCAGGACGCCCCAGAGGAACCAGCACGUUCGGUUUCUCUUUGUGGAGACUUUUUCCAGUAAACGAAAAUCAAAGACAGCGACAGACUUGGGGCUGGGGACACCCGAGUGGGAGCCGAGGAGGAGCCGGGCUGUGCUGUCACCGGCUGGUAAGAUGCGCUGACCCCGAGGGAGAAGGGACAGAGGGCUGGGGAUGCGCUCCUUCCCACAGGGCAGACCCACGGCAGGCCACAGGACCUUUGGACGUGCCCUGGGUGAGCUGAGACCGGGGGCAUCCUGGCCACCAGGGAUCCCCGACAGGGCAGCUCAGAGUCUCAGCUCGGAGAAGCCGACUCGGUGCCCAGCCAUAGACCUUUGGGUUUGGCAAGGUGACAGGUCAGAGGUCAUUGUGACAUUUCCCACCUUUUGGACCCAGCGUCCUGG